This is a long non-coding RNA of Capra hircus (goat), 502 nucleotides long. RefSeq lists it as uncharacterized. NCBI's taxonomy places the organism in Eukaryota, Metazoa, Chordata, Mammalia, Artiodactyla, Bovidae. The transcript has 4 exons. The record is from RefSeq and is a predicted model, not a curated record.
CCUGGAUCGUCCAGCUCAGCUUGGAUGUCGGGUUAGGCUGUCUGCGCUCUGCGCACCUUAUCGAUAAAAUAUUGGACCCGCCCACUCGCAGGUUUCUGCAGGUCGAAUGAGCUAAUGUGACGGCCUAUUAAGAGGCCCAGGGAGGAGAUUCAGGCAGAAGAAGAAGACCUCAGGGACUAAUCAGAUGCUUGCCUGCGUGGUCUAGGCUGGGUGAGGGGUUGGGACUGCUCUGGAGGCCUUUUCCAGGAAAGGGGUUGAGACACAGGCUCUGAAGCUGGGUCUGUUUGGCUGUGUUAUUUCCAGGCACUGUCUUGGGAUUUAGAGACACAGCAAGGAACAAAAGAGAGUCCUUGUGUUGAUGGCACCGAUGAAGCAGGGGAGGCAAAUAACGAAGAUGUGGACAAUUCCUAUGCCAUCACUUGGUGAUCACCAAAUCAGUGGACAUGAGUUUGAGCAAACUCUGGGAGACAGCAAAAGACGGGGAGGCCUGGCGUGCUGCAGU